UGUUCCCUGCGGUGUUUGCCAAGGCCAUACAUUCUUUGAACCAAUGCUAAUUGGCGUCGGUUGCAGACCAUAGAAGCUGCUGUUGUGCGCGCCUUACUCGAUGGGUGUGCCUGAUGCGGAAGGAAUGCGACCAAUCUGAACUCCGGUUCAGGAUGCCGGCCUAGCGGCACUCGCGGGGACAUA
Molecule: non-coding RNA, 183 nt
Filed under: Candidatus Propionivibrio aalborgensis
Lineage: Bacteria; Pseudomonadati; Pseudomonadota; Betaproteobacteria; Rhodocyclales; Rhodocyclaceae
Description: 6S / SsrS RNA
Rfam family: 6S / SsrS RNA
About the family: E. coli 6S RNA was the first non coding RNA to be sequenced, but its function was unknown until recently.
Source: Rfam by way of RNAcentral